Molecule: ribosomal RNA, 461 nt
Filed under: uncultured bacterium
Lineage: Bacteria
Description: bacterial SSU rRNA
Rfam family: Bacterial small subunit ribosomal RNA
Source: RNAcentral
GGACCCGCACAAGCGGUGGAUGAUGUGGAUUAAUUCGAUGCAACGCGAAAAACCUUACCUACGCUUGACAUGCCAGGAAGCUUGAAGAGAUUCGAGUGUGCCCGAAAGGGAACCUGGACACAGGUGCUGCAUGGCUGUCGUCAGCUCGUGUCGUGAGAUGUUGGGUUAAGUCCCGCAACGAGCGCAACCCUUAUCAUUAGUUGCUACGCAAGGGCACUCUAAUGAGACUGCCGGUGACAAACCGGAGGAAGGUGGGGAUGACGUCAAGUCCUCAUGGCCCUUAUGCGUAGGGCUUCACACGUCAUACAAUGGUCGGUACAGAGGGUCGCCAACCCGCGAGGGGGAGCCAAUCCCACAAAGCCGAUCGUAGUCCGGAUUGCAGUCUGCAACUCGACUGCAUGAAGUCGGAAUCGCUAGUAAUCGCGGAUCAGCAUGUCGCGGUGAAUACGUUCCCGGGUCUU